This 1139-nucleotide ribosomal RNA is filed under the name bacterium BCL12. Its description in RNAcentral is "bacterial SSU rRNA". It matches the Rfam family "Bacterial small subunit ribosomal RNA", at positions 301 to 1451 of the family's 1533-position model. The record is from RNAcentral.
UGACCGGCCACCACUGGGACUGAGACACGGCCCAGACUCCUACGGGAGGCAGCAGUGGGAUAUGCACAUGGGCGAAAGCCUGAUGCAGCAACGCCGCGUGAGGGAUGACGGCUUCGGGUUGUAAACCUCUUUUAGCAGGGAAGAAGCGAAAGUGACGGUACCUGCAGAAAAAGCACCGGGCUAACUACGUGCCAGCAGCCGCGGUAAUACGUAGGGUGCAAGCGUUAUCCGGAAUUAUUGGGCGUAAAGAGCUCGUAGGCGGUCUGUCGCGUCUGCUGUGAAAUCCCGAGGCUCAACCUCGGGCUUGCAGUGGGUACGGGCAGACUAGAGUGCGGUAGGGGAGAUUGGAAUUCCUGGUGUAGCGGUGGAAUGCGCAGAUAUCAGGAGGAACACCGAUGGCGAAGGCAGAUCUCUGGGCCGUAACUGACGCUGAGGAGCGAAAGGGUGGGGAGCAAACAGGCUUAGAUACCCUGGUAGUCCACCCCGUAAACGUUGGGAACUAGUUGUGGGGUCCUUUCCACGGAUUCCGUGACGCAGCUAACGCAUUAAGUUCCCCGCCUGGGGAGUACGGCCGCAAGGCUAAAACUCAAAGGAAUUGACGGGGACCCGCACAAGCGGCGGAGCAUGCGGAUUAAUUCGAUGCAACGCGAAGAACCUUACCAAGGCUUGACAUACACGAGAACGGGCCAGAAAUGGUCAACUCUUUGGACACUCGUGAACAGGUGGUGCAUGGUUGUCGUCAGCUCGUGUCGUGAGAUGUUGGGUUAAGUCCCGCAACGAGCGCAACCCUCGUUCUAUGUUGCCAGCACGUAAUGGUGGGAACUCAUGGGAUACUGCCGGGGUCAACUCGGAGGAAGGUGGGGAUGACGUCAAAUCAUCAUGCCCCUUAUGUCUUGGGCUUCACGCAUGCUACAAUGGCCGGUACAAUGGGCUGCGAUACCGUAAGGUGGAGCGAAUCCCAAAAAGCCGGUCCCAGUUCGGAUUGAGGUCUGCAACUCGACCUCAUGAAGUCGGAGUCGCUAGUAAUCGCAGAUCAGCAACGCUGCGGUGAAUACGUUCCCGGGUCUUGUACACACCGCCCGUCAAGUCAUGAAAGUCGGUAACACCUGAAGCCGGUGGCCUAACCCCACGUGGCGGGG